Molecule: transfer-messenger RNA, 351 nt
Filed under: Candidatus Yanofskybacteria bacterium RIFCSPHIGHO2_01_FULL_39_44
Lineage: Bacteria; Candidatus Yanofskyibacteriota
Also listed under: 3 other names
Rfam family: transfer-messenger RNA
About the family: Bacterial tmRNA, also known as 10Sa RNA or SsrA, is named for its dual tRNA and mRNA-like properties. Its role is to liberate the mRNA from a stalled ribosome.
Source: RNAcentral
GGGGAUGACGGGCUUCGACGAAGUUCAUUUCAAAUUAUAUGCAAGUAGUGGUUUAGACAUCCACUUAAAUAGCGUCUAAAAUUAUAAUUGCAAAAAACAAUUAUUCAGGAGCUUUAGCUUUCGCUUAGUUCCCGUUCUCUCAAUGACUCUCGCUAGUUGAAAAGGACGCCAUCAGCGAGAUACUGUUUGCGGGGUCUUGGUGUGUUCUAAGCCGCAAAUGGAAAAUUAAGCUAGAAUGCUGGCUCAGUGCUUUUGUCGGUUUUAAAGCUGAGCAAUAACAAACCGAUUAAACUUGUAGAAUAUAAUCUGAUUAAAUUUCGGAUGGCGGUUCAACUCUGCCCAUCUCCACAU